GAACAGCAGAACUAAUGUAAACCUGUUUCAGCUGCUUGAUGUUAAUGCCUGAAGGGAAGUGAGAUGCACAGUGCAUGUGGAACUGGUGGCAGUGAAUACAGGCAGGCUUUCAGAGGUACAAAGCACAAAGGCACUGUAUGUUCCAGUGGUUCAGUACAAGCAAAAACUGAUCCUAAAUAUCCAAAAAAUUAGAUGUUGAGAAAAUCCACAGGAAACCUGGCUGUUUACAGCCUUAAACUCUGUUUGACCAAAAAUGGGAAUGGCUCCAUCUAUAACCAACUCUGAAGUGUUCAAGAUUUAAGCUUUGUGGCCUUUGCAAGCUGAACAAAUUCCAUGAGAAGUCUUGUCCUCUGAGUCUGAUGUGAUUUUUCUCUACAAUUUUUUCCUCUUUAUUCGGCUUUUUCUCACCCUGCCCUCUACUGUCACAUAGUUCCACUUGCACUUGUGCCUAUGUGGCAAACAUAAAACUUCUGGAGUCCUUAUGACAGUGUGUAUUAAAACAAGUCCAUGUGGGAUUUAGUAAUGAAAAACAUUGUUAUUAAUGAUGUAAAUUAUAAAGUCCCGUUGUGUUCCACUGCUAGCUGCUGAAGAUUGUCCACACACAACUGGGUACCUUCCAAACCUAUUGCUAUGGAAAUGUCAUACUGCUUUAAUAGACUGUUCAGGAAGAAGAAAUAUUUUACUUUUGAAUCCAAAUCUCCAUUCUCUAGUAUUCCCAAAUGCAAAAACUUGCUUCAGUUUUUUGGCACUCCUACAUCUUCUCUAAUUUUUCUCUUUUAUGCCUGGAAUAUUCUACUGUUUCUGUAUGUCAGAUCUUCACUCUUUCUGAGAGGAUACUUCUGGAGACCCAGACAUGAUAUGGAAUUAAUACAGUGUGCAUCAGAUGUGUAAUCUUUGUGCUGACUCUUUCUGUAUAGUUUGCUUUUCUGUAAGCUGGUCAAGUGAACAGUUCUGUUAAAGAUAGCAAAGUGAACCUAUGUAUGUAUGUACUCUCUCACACAAGCCAGACUGUAGAUGGGACUUCCUCCACCAGCAAGUUUUGUUGGUGGUAAACGAAUAACCUCCAUGCUCCACUUUUUGAAUUUCCAAAAAUUCUGUCUCUACCUGACUUGACAUUUAUUGAUUGAAUGGACUGGUUUAUUUAAGGACAGGCUGUAUUUUAAAAUGGGCUCAAUCUGAAUCCUUGGUAAUUGUAAGUAUAGAUUCUCUUCAUAAUAGAAACACAUCAGAUUUCUCUAUUCCCUGCUGCGCAUGCAUAGCUUUCAUUCUGAGAUAUAAAUAAAUGUACUGUGCAGGAAAAA
Molecule: long non-coding RNA, 1301 nt
Organism: Phasianus colchicus (ring-necked pheasant)
Lineage: Eukaryota; Metazoa; Chordata; Aves; Galliformes; Phasianidae
Source: RefSeq, a predicted model, not a curated record